CCUACGGGAGGCAGCAGUGGGGAAUAUUGCACAAUGGGGGAAACCCUGAAGCAGCGAUGCCGCGUGAGCGAUGAUGUCUUUCGGUAUGUAAAGCUCUAUUAGCAGGGAAGAAAAUGACGGUACCUGACUCAGACGCGCCGGCUAACUACGUGACAGCAGCCGCGUUACUACGUAGGGGGCAAGCGUUAUCCGGAUUUACUGGGUGUAAAGGGAGCGUAGACGGCGAUGCAAGCCAGAUGUGAAAGCCCGGGGCUGAACCGCGGGACUGCCUUUGAAACUGUCUAGCUGGAGUGUCGACGAGGCAGGCGGAAUGCCUAGUGUAGCGGUGAAAUGCAUAGAUAUUAGGAAGAACACCAGUUGCGAAGGCAGCUUACGAGACGGCGACUGACGUUGAGGCACGAAAGCGUGGGGAGCAAACAGGAUUAGAUACCCGUGUAGUC
RNAcentral lists this ribosomal RNA (440 nucleotides) under uncultured bacterium. Its description in RNAcentral is "partial 16S ribosomal RNA". It matches the Rfam family "Bacterial small subunit ribosomal RNA", at positions 338 to 795 of the family's 1533-position model. The record is from RNAcentral.